AGAGUUUGAUCCUGGCUCAGAACGAACGCUGGCGGCAGGCUUAACACAUGCAAGUCGAACGCCCCGCAAGGGGAGUGGCAGACGGGUGAGUAACGCGUGGGAACCUACCUUUCGGUACGGAAUAACUCGGGGAAACUCGUGCUAAUACCGUAUAUUCCGGUAACGGGAAAGAUUUAUCGCCGAAAGACGGGCCCGCGUUAGAUUAGCUAGUUGGUGGGGUAAUGGCCUACCAAGGCAACGAUCUAUAGCUGGUCUAAGAGGAUGAUCAGCCUCACUGGGACUGAGACACGGCCCAGACUCCUACGGGAGGCAGCAGUAGGGAAUAUUGGACAAUGGGGGCAACCCUGAUCCAGCCAUGCCGCGUGAAUGAUAAGGCCUUCGGGUUGUAAAGUUCUUUUGGUGGGGACGAUGAUGACGGUACCCACAGAAUAAGCUCCGGCUAACUUCGUGCCAGCAGCCGCGGUAAUACGAAGGGAGCUAGCGUUGUUCGGAAUUACUGGGCGUAAAGGGUGCGUAGGUGGUGCAAUUAGUCAGGUGUGAAAUCCCCGGGCUCAACCCGGGAACUGCAUUUGAUACUGUUGCGCUAGAAUUCGGGAGAGGUAAGUGGAAUUCCCAGUGUAGAGGUGAAAUUCGUAGAUAUUGGGAAGAACACCCGUGGCGAAGGCGGCUUACUGGACCGACAUUGACACUGAGGCACGAAAGUGUGGGGAGCAAACAGGAUUAGAUACCCUGGUAGUCC
Molecule: ribosomal RNA, 739 nt
Filed under: uncultured bacterium
Lineage: Bacteria
Description: bacterial SSU rRNA
Rfam family: Bacterial small subunit ribosomal RNA
Source: RNAcentral